GCCUCUUUGGCGCAGCCGGCAGCGCGUCAGUCUCAUAAUCUGAAGGUCGCCAGUUCGAACCUGGCAGGGGGCA
RNAcentral lists this transfer RNA (73 nucleotides) under Entomophthora muscae. RNAcentral describes it as "tRNA-Met". It matches the Rfam family "tRNA". Rfam says of the family: Transfer RNA (tRNA) molecules are approximately 80 nucleotides in length. Their secondary structure includes four short double-helical elements and three loops (D, anti-codon, and T loops). Lineage: Eukaryota; Fungi; Entomophthoromycota; Entomophthoromycetes; Entomophthorales; Entomophthoraceae. The record is from RNAcentral.